This 253-nucleotide ribosomal RNA is filed under the name uncultured bacterium. RNAcentral's name for it is "partial 16S ribosomal RNA". It matches the Rfam family "Bacterial small subunit ribosomal RNA", at positions 524 to 776 of the family's 1533-position model. The record is from RNAcentral.
AACGUAGGUGGCAAGCGUUAUCCGGAAUUACUGGGCGUAAAGGGUGUGCAGGCGGGGAAGCAAGGGGGGUAUGAAAUCUCCCAGCUUAACUGGGAUAGGUUAUGCCAGACUGCUUUUCUAGAGGACGAGAGAGGGGGGUGGAAUUCCGGGUGUAGUGGUGAAAUGCGUAGAGAUCCGGAGGAACCCCAGAGGCGAAGGCGGCCCCCUGGCUCGUACCUGACGCUCAGCCACGAAAGCAUGGGGAGCGAACGGG